Molecule: ribosomal RNA, 253 nt
Filed under: uncultured bacterium
Lineage: Bacteria
Description: partial 16S ribosomal RNA
Rfam family: Bacterial small subunit ribosomal RNA
Source: RNAcentral
UACGAAGGGGGCUAGCGUUGCUCGGAAUUACUGGGCGUAAAGGGAGCGUAGGUGGACUGUUUAGUCAGAGGUGAAAGCCCAGGGCUCAACCUUGGAAUUGCCUUUGAUACUGGCAGUCUUGAGUACGGAAGAGGUAUGUGGAACUCCGAGUGUAGAGGUGAAAUGCGCAGAUAUCAGGAAGAACACCCGUGGCGAAGGCGGCUCUCUGGGACGGUACUGACGCUGAGACGCGAAAGCGUGGGGAGCGAACAGG